CAAAAAAAAAAAAAAGACAAGUUGUGCUGUGAUUUGAUGAACCCAUGAUGAUUAUAAAUAUAUGUUGUUUUGUGUAAAUAAUUUUUUUUUUUUCAGUUUUGAUAUGUUAAUGGGGUAAAUUCUAAUAUGGACCACUUCAUCAAGUGGUCCAUGGUCCAUACUUUGAAUAUUUGUUUGUAUUUUGUAAUGAUUGUUUCUCUCCUACCAUCAAAGAAAAGAAAAAUAUAUAAUUUAAGUAAUGUUUGGAUUGACUUAUUUUUGAGCUUAUGUGAAAUCGCUUAUGCAAAGUAGUUUAUCAAAAGAGUUUAUAAAGACACAAUUUUUGCAAGUGAAAACUUAUGAAUCAACAUUAAAGUUUAUCUAUUUGCAUAAGCUAAAAAAUAAGUCAAAUUCAAACAGGCCUUUAGUAUUUAAUCUAGGCCGUGCUUGGACAACAAAAAAUGUAACAUAAUAAAAUUAUGCUCC
This 465-nucleotide long non-coding RNA is filed under the name Trifolium pratense (red clover). RNAcentral's name for it is "long non-coding RNA (TPRA_LNC007568)". The record is from RNAcentral. Lineage: Eukaryota; Viridiplantae; Streptophyta; Magnoliopsida; Fabales; Fabaceae.